Molecule: ribosomal RNA, 484 nt
Filed under: uncultured bacterium
Lineage: Bacteria
Description: partial 16S ribosomal RNA
Rfam family: Bacterial small subunit ribosomal RNA
Source: RNAcentral
AUUGAACGCUGGCGGCAUGCUUUACACAUGCAAGUCGGACGGCAGCGCGGGCUUCGGCCUGGCGGCGAGUGGCGAACGGGUGAGUAAUACAUCGGAACGUGCCCAGUAGUGGGGGAUAGCUCGGCGAAAGCCGGAUUAAUACCGCAUACGACCUGAGGGUGAAAGCGGGGGACUUUAGGGCCUCGCGCUAUUGGAGCGGCCGAUGGCAGAUUAGCUAGUUGGUGGGGUAAAGGCCUACCAAGGCGACGAUCUGUAGCUGGUCUGAGAGGACGACCAGCCACACUGGGACUGAGACACGGCCCAGGCUCCUACGGGAGGCAGCAGUGGGGAAUUUUGGACAAUGGGCGCAAGCCUGAUCCAGCAAUGCCGCGUGUGUGAUGAAGGCCUUCGGGUUGUAAAGCACUUUUGGCAGGAACGAAAAGUGCCGUGCUAAUACCACGGUACGAUGACGGUACCUGCAGAAUAAGCACCGGCUAACUACGUG